GUUUCUAUCUCUCUCCCUCUCCCUUUCUCUCCGAAAGGAAAAAAAUAUAUAUAUACAAAAAAAAAAAAUAGGCAGUCACACACAUCAAAACAUAUGAUUCUUGCCGACAGGGUCUGUAUAGUUAUCAGAUUUCCUGUGCGAUGGCUCCAUACAUG
Molecule: small nucleolar RNA, 155 nt
Filed under: Myotis brandtii (Brandt's bat)
Lineage: Eukaryota; Metazoa; Chordata; Mammalia; Chiroptera; Vespertilionidae
Source: RNAcentral